GAUGAACGCUGGCGGCGUGCCUAAUACAUGCAAGUCGAGCGAACAGACGAGGAGCUUGCUCCUCUGACGUUAGCGGCGGACGGGUGAGUAACACGUGGAUAACCUACCUAUAAGACUGGGAUAACUUCGGGAAACCGGAGCUAAUACCGGAUAAUAUAUUGAACCGCAUGGUUCAAUAGUGAAAGACGGUUUUGCUGUCACUUAUAGAUGGAUCCGCGCCGCAUUAGCUAGUUGGUAAGGUAACGGCUUACCAAGGCAACGAUGCGUAGCCGACCUGAGAGGGUGAUCGGCCACACUGGAACUGAGACACGGUCCAGACUCCUACGGGAGGCAGCAGUAGGGAAUCUUCCGCAAUGGGCGAGAGCCUGACGGAGCAACGCCGCGUGAGUGAUGAAGGUCUUCGGAUCGUAAAACUCUGUUAUUAGGAAAGAACAAAUGUGUAAGUAACUAUGCACGUCUUGACGGUACCUAAUCAGAAAGCCACGGCUAACUACGUG
RNAcentral lists this ribosomal RNA (497 nucleotides) under uncultured bacterium. Its description in RNAcentral is "partial 16S ribosomal RNA". It matches the Rfam family "Bacterial small subunit ribosomal RNA", at positions 28 to 507 of the family's 1533-position model. The record is from RNAcentral.